GUUAAUAGAUGAAUGAGCCCUUUCAUUUUUCUUCUAUAUAUCCAUACAAUCCAAUCAAAUUUAGCAUCUGUGACAAUCUGUGGUUUUACUUAUGAAUUCAAACCAGAAAUUUUGGUAAAAAUUCAAGUAUAAAAGAGCGUUGACCACAACAGAUGAGUAUAGAAGAGUGAUGUUUUCUAACUAGCUGAUUGCAACAGAGUGCUAAUACCAAAAGAAAGAUAGAAAUAAUCAAGCUAUAUUUGCUUUUCUAAUGGAUGGCAGAGGAGAAGAAAGACAAUCACCCUUCUAAUUAGACGCCGGAAACAAAACUCAAUGAAAGUGGUGAGAGAAGAGGUAUAACGACG
RNAcentral lists this long non-coding RNA (344 nucleotides) under Medicago truncatula (barrel medic). Its description in RNAcentral is "long non-coding RNA (MTRU_LNC003919)". The record is from RNAcentral. Lineage: Eukaryota; Viridiplantae; Streptophyta; Magnoliopsida; Fabales; Fabaceae.